AUAAUACUCCCUCCGUCCAAUAAAGGAUGUCUCAAUUUUGAUCAAAUUUGAAUGCAUCUAUACACUAAAUCAUGUCUAGAUACAUCUAAAUUUUAAUAAAUUUGAGACAUUUUUUGUUAAAUGGAGUGAGUAUGAA
Molecule: non-coding RNA, 136 nt
Organism: Brachypodium distachyon (stiff brome)
Lineage: Eukaryota; Viridiplantae; Streptophyta; Magnoliopsida; Poales; Poaceae
Source: Rfam